This 253-nucleotide ribosomal RNA is filed under the name uncultured bacterium. RNAcentral describes it as "partial 16S ribosomal RNA". It matches the Rfam family "Bacterial small subunit ribosomal RNA", at positions 524 to 776 of the family's 1533-position model. The record is from RNAcentral.
GACGAACCGUGCAAACGUUGUUCGGAAUCACUGGGCUUAAAGGGCGCGUAGGCGGGCUCGCCAGUCAGGGGUGAAAGCCUCCAGCUCAACUGGAGAAGUGCCUUUGAUACUGCGAGCCUCGAGGGAGGUAGGGGCGUGCGGAACUUCCGGUGGAGCGGUGAAAUGCGUAGAUAUCGGAAGGAACACCGGUGGCGAAAGCGGCGCGCUGGACCUCUUCUGACGCUGAGGCGCGAAAGCCAGGGGAGCAAACGGG